CAGUCGCCACGGUAAUACGUAGGGCGCAAGCGUUGUCCGGAAUUAUUGGGCGUAAAGAGCUCGUAGGCGGUCUGUCGCGUCUGGUGUGAAAUCCCGAGGCUCAACCUCGGGCUUGCAUCGGGUACGGGCAGACUAGAGUGCGGUAGGGGAGACUGGAAUUCCUGGUGUAGCGGUGGAAUGCGCAGAUAUCAGGAGGAACACCGAUGGCGAAGGCAGGUCUCUGGGCCGCAACUGACGCUGAGGAGCGAAAGCAUGGGGAGCGAACAGGAUUAGAUACCCGUGUAGUCCCUGUCUCUUAUAC
This 301-nucleotide ribosomal RNA is filed under the name uncultured bacterium. Its description in RNAcentral is "partial 16S ribosomal RNA". It matches the Rfam family "Bacterial small subunit ribosomal RNA", at positions 509 to 807 of the family's 1533-position model. The record is from RNAcentral.